AAAGUCGAACGGAAAGGCCCAGCUUGCUGGGUACUCGAGUGGCGAACGGGUGAGUAACACGUGGGUGAUCUGCCCUGCACUCUGGGAUAAGCCUGGGAAACUGGGUCUAAUACCGGAUAUGACCAACUGUCGCAUGGUGGUUGGUGGAAAGCUUUUGCGGUGUGGGAUGGGCCCGCGGCCUAUCAGCUUGUUGGUGGGGUAAUGGCCUACCAAGGCGACGACGGGUAGCCGACCUGAGAGGGUGAUCGGCCACACUGGGACUGAGACACGGCCCAGACUCCUACGGGAGGCAGCAGUGGGGAAUAUUGCACAAUGGGCGCAAGCCUGAUGCAGCGACGCCGCGUGAGGGAUGACGGCCUUCGGGUUGUAAACCUCUUUCACCAGGGACGAAGCGUGAGUGACGGUACCUGGAGAAGAAGCACCGGCCAACUACGUGCCAGCAGCCGCGGUAAUACGUAGGGUGCGAGCGUUGUCCGGAAUUACUGGGCGUAAAGAGCUCGUAGGCGGUUUGUCGCGUCGUCUGUGAAAUUCUGCAACUCAAUUGCAGGCGUGCAGGCGAUACGGGCAGACUUGAGUACUACAGGGGAGACUGGAAUUCCUGGUGUAGCGGUGAAAUGCGCAGAUAUCAGGAGGAACACCGGUGGCGAAGGCGGGUCUCUGGGUAGUAACUGACGCUGAGGAGCGAAAGCGUGGGUAGCGAACAGGAUUAGAUACCCUGGUAGUCCACGCCGUAAACGGUGGGUACUAGGUGUGGGUUCCUUUUCACGGGAUCCGUGCCGUAGCUAACGCAUUAAGUACCCCGCCUGGAGAGUACGGCCGCAAGGCUAAACUCAAGAGAAUUUGACGGAAAGG
This 852-nucleotide ribosomal RNA is filed under the name Gordonia terrae. RNAcentral's name for it is "bacterial SSU rRNA". It matches the Rfam family "Bacterial small subunit ribosomal RNA", at positions 58 to 921 of the family's 1533-position model. The record is from RNAcentral. Lineage: Bacteria; Bacillati; Actinomycetota; Actinomycetes; Mycobacteriales; Gordoniaceae.